GCUCCCCCCUGGCCCUCAGGCAGUGCUGGCACAGGCGCUGGGCGUGCUGGGCAUCGUGAGGAAGGAGCGGCUCCUCUACCUCGUGGGGCAGACCCGGGUUCACCUGGACCGUGUGGAGGGGCUGGGCGACUUCCUGGAGCUGGAGGUGGUGCUGAGGCAGGAGCAGAGUGUGCAGGACGGGGAGCGCGUGGCCCGGGAGCUGCUGCGGGAACUGGGGGUCGGGGAGCACGACCUGAUCUCGGGGGCUUACCUGGACCUGCUCCUGGCCAAGGGGCAGCCGGGCACGGGGGCAGAGCCCCCCCACUGCCACCCCCCGGCUGGGCAGGGACAGCAGAGCUGAGAGCAGCGGGGACACGGCUGUGCCACGGGCACCCUGUGCCCAUCCUACAGCAUCCUGUACCCCCCUAUGGGCAUCCUGUACCCCCCUAUGGGCACCCCGUACCCACCCCAGACACCCUGUGCCCACCCCACAGGCAUCCUGUACCCCCUUAUGGGCACCCUGUACCCGCCCCAGACACCCUGUACCCACCCCAGACACCCUGUGCCCCCCUAUGGGCACCCUGUACCCACCCUACAGACAUCCUGUACCUACCCUACAGACAUCCUGCACCCACCCUGGACAUCCUGUGCCCACCCCGUGGACAGCCUUUAACCACCUAUGGGAACCCUGUACCCCUCGCCAUGGGCACCUCCUGCCCCAUGCCCACCCCAUGGGCACUCUCUACCCUCCCACAGACACCCCCUGCCCCGUACCCACCCUACAGACACCCUGUGCCCACCUCGUGGACACCCAGUACUCCUCCCCUGACACCCCUUGCCCCAUACUCACCCUACAGACAUCCUGUACCCCUGCAGACACCCCGUGCCCACCCCAUGGACACCCUGUACCCCCCCUGUGCCACCCCCUCCCUUGGCUGCUCAAUAAACUCUGGGACCAUC
This is a long non-coding RNA of Corapipo altera (White-ruffed manakin), 939 nucleotides long. RefSeq lists it as uncharacterized. The record is from RefSeq and is a predicted model, not a curated record. The transcript is spliced from 2 exons. Lineage: Eukaryota; Metazoa; Chordata; Aves; Passeriformes; Pipridae.